This 380-nucleotide ribosomal RNA is filed under the name uncultured eukaryote. RNAcentral describes it as "partial 18S ribosomal RNA". It matches the Rfam family "Eukaryotic small subunit ribosomal RNA", at positions 592 to 976 of the family's 1831-position model. The record is from RNAcentral.
CAAUAGCGUAUAUUAAAGUUGUUGCAGUUAAAAAGCUCGUAGUUGGAUUUGUGGCGUACGGUGUGUUCCGGGCACUUGUUGUCUGAGUAACCUGCUGUUGCCAUCCUUGGGUGGAACCUGUGUGGCAUUAGGUUGUCGUGCAGGGGAUGCCCAUCAUUUACUGUGAAAAAAUUAGAGUGUUCAAAGCAGGCUUAUGCCGUUGAAUAUAUUAGCAUGGAAUAAUGAGAUAGGACUUUUUUGCUAUUUUGUUGGUUUGCACAAAGAGGUAAUGAUUAAUAGGGACAGUUGGGGGUAUUCGUAUUCCAUUGUCAGAGGUGAAAUUCUUGGAUUUUUGGAAGACGAACUACUGCGAAAGCAUUUACCAAGGAUGUUUUCAUUAA